RNAcentral lists this ribosomal RNA (846 nucleotides) under uncultured bacterium. RNAcentral's name for it is "bacterial SSU rRNA". It matches the Rfam family "Bacterial small subunit ribosomal RNA", at positions 92 to 934 of the family's 1533-position model. The record is from RNAcentral.
CGAGUGGCGAACGGGUGAGUAAUAUAUCGGAACGUACCCUAGAGUGGGGGAUAACGUAGCGAAAGUUACGCUAAUACCGCAUACGAUCUACGGAUGAAAGCGGGGGAUCGCAAGACCUCGCGCUCAUGGAGCGGCCGAUAUCUGAUUAGCUAGUUGGUAGGGUAAAAGCCUACCAAGGCAUCGAUCAGUAGCUGGUCUGAGAGGACGACCAGCCACACUGGGACUGAGACACGGCCCAGACUCCUACGGGAGGCAGCAGUGGGGAAUUUUGGACAAUGGGGGCAACCCUGAUCCAGCAAUGCCGCGUGAGUGAAGAAGGCCUUCGGGUUGUAAAGCUCUUUUGUCAGGGAAGAAACGGUUUGGGUUAAUACCUUGAACUAAUGACGGUACCUGAAGAAUAAGCACCGGCUAACUACGUGCCAGCAGCCGCGGUAAUACGUAGGGUGCAAGCGUUAAUCGGAAUUACUGGGCGUAAAGCGUGCGCAGGCGGUUAUGUAAGACAGAUGUGAAAUGCCCGGGCUCAACCUGGGAACUGCAUUUGUGACUGCAUGGCUAGAGUUUGGCAGAGGGGGGUAGAAUUCCACGUGUAGCAGUGAAAUGCGUAGAUAUGUGGAGGAAUACCGAUGGCGAAGGCAGCCCCCUGGGUCAAGACUGACGCUCAUGCACGAAAGCGUGGGGAGCAAACAGGAUUAGAUGCCCUGGUAGUCCACGCCCUAAACGAUGUCUACUAGUUGUCGGGUCUUAAUUGACUUGGUAACGCAGCUAACGCGUGAAGUAGACCGCCUGGGGGAGUACGGUCGCAAGAUUAAAACUCAAAGGAAUUGACGGGGACCCGCACAAGCGGUG